UACAGAGGUGGCGAGCGUUGUUCGGAUUUACUGGGCGUAAAGGGUGCGUAGGUGGUUUUGUGUGUCUGAUGUGAAAUCCCACUGCCCAACGGUGGAACGGCAUUGGAAACUACAGGACUAGAGUGCAGGAGGGGAGAGCGGAAUUCUUGGUGUAGCGGUGAAAUGCGUUGAUAUCAAGAGGAACACCGGUGGCGAAGGCGGCUCUCUGGAAUGCAACUGACACUGAGGCACGAAAGCUGGGGGAGCAAACAGG
Molecule: ribosomal RNA, 253 nt
Filed under: uncultured bacterium
Lineage: Bacteria
Description: partial 16S ribosomal RNA
Rfam family: Bacterial small subunit ribosomal RNA
Source: RNAcentral